RNAcentral lists this unclassified non-coding RNA (182 nucleotides) under uncultured Ascomycota. Its description in RNAcentral is "sequence contains ITS1". The record is from RNAcentral. Lineage: Eukaryota; Fungi; Ascomycota.
UCGAGUUAGGGUCUCUGGCCCGACCUCCAACCCUGUGUCUACUCAAACCAUGUUGCUUCGGCGGGCCGUCCUCCCUCGGGGAGGCGCUGGGGGGGCCUCUGUGGUCCUCUAGAGCGUGCCUGUCGGUGGCCUACCAAACUCUUGAUGAAUUGUGUCGUCUGAGUAUUGAAUACAAAUAAGCA